GCAUUAGUGUUAUAUUUUCGUUAAAUUAUCUCAUUUAACGCUGAAAAUAUCAUUCUUUCGUAUACAAGGAUAGCAUAUCUUAACCAGCUAUGGUUGGAUUUUCAGCAUGAAUUUAAAAUUAUCUCUUUCAUGUUAGCGUUACAUUCUAACAUAUUUUAAAUCUUAAUUAAACUUUUUAUUGCCCUCUAAUAGUAUUAGUAGAAAAUCUAUUUGAC
This 215-nucleotide long non-coding RNA is filed under the name Panax ginseng (ginseng). RNAcentral describes it as "long non-coding RNA (PGIN_LNC007267)". The record is from RNAcentral. Lineage: Eukaryota; Viridiplantae; Streptophyta; Magnoliopsida; Apiales; Araliaceae.